CUCUCUCUCUCUCUCUCUCUCUCUCUCUCUCUCUCUCUCUCUCUCUCUCUCUCUCGUGUUCCCAUUUCGCAACUGGAAACAAGCAGAAGCAUUUUUUUUUAUGGAUCAAGAUUUGCAGAUCCUACAAGGAUGGACUGAUGGAGAAUCACCAACUGGCCGUACGGCACUCUUUGGGGAUUCCGACGAGAUGGUCGAUGAACAAAGAUAACAAUGGAUCGUUAGACGCCACACAACUGAUGGAUUGAAGCUGUGAUAAGUCUGGAUGCUCGAGAACACAAGGAAUCACACACAAGGUUCUAGGGCGGCUGUGAGUUCUCUUGUAAGAAAACUAGGUUUUUAUUUCAUAAGCAAAAACGUGUGUUACAAAAGCUGCAGGGGAGCCUUAUUAAUAUGCUCUUCAGCUGUGACCUUCGAGGGUCUUUAUUAGAAAAGGAAAGUGCUAAACUUGCAAAUUACAAGUCUUAUUGAGGACUAAAAAGAAAGAACUUGAACUAAUGGAAAUUCCUGUAAAUAAAACAUAAAAGGAGACUUGUUAAUAAAAUUACACUCAAAUGCUUACCUUAAUUCCAUUAGCACGUGACACAUUUUGAGGUUCUCCUAGGUGUGUGUAAGCCCCAGCUCGUACGAAGACGUUUUGGUAAUGGUGAACAAAGUUGAUUCCCUCGUUCCUUGCAAAACUGGCAAAAAGGAUGUAGGUUGAGUCUUGAGAUGCAAGUAAGCGUCUCCUUGUAGGUAUGUUGACAUCCUCUUCGGUCUCGGAUAAGCUUAGGUCGAUGGCCUCAUCAUUCCGUCCCUCUUGAGAAAGUUCUGACCCCAGAACG
Non-coding RNA from Camelina sativa (false flax), 821 nucleotides. NCBI's taxonomy places the organism in Eukaryota, Viridiplantae, Streptophyta, Magnoliopsida, Brassicales, Brassicaceae. The record is from RefSeq and is a predicted model, not a curated record.